This 107-nucleotide small nuclear RNA is filed under the name Tursiops truncatus (common bottlenose dolphin). The record is from RNAcentral. Lineage: Eukaryota; Metazoa; Chordata; Mammalia; Artiodactyla; Delphinidae. RNAcentral also lists the same sequence under 1 other name.
GUGCUCGCUUCGGCAGCACAUAUACUAAAAUUGGAACAAUACAGAGAAGGUUAGUAUGGCCCCUGCACAAGGAUGACAUGCAAAUUCCUGAAGCAUUCCGUAUUUUA